Molecule: ribosomal RNA, 440 nt
Filed under: uncultured bacterium
Lineage: Bacteria
Description: partial 16S ribosomal RNA
Rfam family: Bacterial small subunit ribosomal RNA
Source: RNAcentral
CCUACGGGAGGCAGCAGUAGGGAAUAUUGCUCAAUGGGGGAAACCCUGAAGCAGCAACGCCGCGUGGAGGAUGAAGGUUUUCGGAUUGUAAACUCCUUUUUUUAGAGAAGAUAAUGACGGUAUCUAACGAAUAAGCACCGGCUAACUCCGUGCCAGCAGCCGCGGUAAUACGGAGGGUGCAGGCGUUACUCGGAAUCACUGGGCGUAAAGAGCGCGUAGCGGGGAUAGCAAGUCAGAUGUGAAAUCUUAUGGCUUAACCAUAGAACUGCAUUUGAAACUGUUAGUCUAGAGUAUAGGAGAGGUAGGUGGAAUUCUUGGUGGAGGGGUAAAAUCCGUAGAGAUCAAGAGGAAUACUCAUUGCGAAGGCGACCUGCUAGAACAUAACUGACGCUGAUGCGCGAAAGCGUGGGGAGCAAACAGGAUUAGAUACCCGAGUAGUC